GUUAAGCUAGAAAUUGCAUUGUCAACUCAACUGAUUCAUCCUUCUGUUUCUACAGACACUCCCCUAUCAAUCUGAUGGUUGAGCUUGAGACAUUGAAUAGGAAGAAAGAUGUUGUGUGCCUUAUCUUGUCUUAUCCUCCUUUCAACUCCUUCGACAAAGAGAGACACAAAAGUUGGAUCAUGGAUGUUUUGGAGAUUAAUCACAAAGUGAGAGAAUUGGAAGCAUCUUCCAAGGGGAAAGAAAUAAAUAUUCAAAAAGUACUAUCUUAUGAAAUCACUCGAUUGAUGGAUCAUUCAACCCAUGAUAUUGAAGAUUAUGUUCCAUCCUUCAUCAUUAACAAGAUGUUAAAGAAGAAUCUUGUUGCCAGAACACCUGAAAGGGAAGUGCUUGAUUUGGCUAUUGAUUUUACUGUUCGCCAAAUUUUACAAGAUUUAGGAAUUCCAGAACUUCGGAGGAUUGGGAUUUCAGGAAAAGAUGAUAAAAGCCUCAUGUCAAGAUUGAUGAACCUACCCGGAACUAAAGAAGCUUUUAAUAUUGUCGUUCAGGUUGAUGUCUCAUCUUGUUGUACCAUUGGAGAAAUUGAACAUAGCAUUGUGAGAAAACUGGGUCUCUCAAGGUCUAGUAGACAGGAAGCAGAUGAAUUAUUGAAAAGCAAAAAUUUCUUAAUCCUUCUUGAUGGCUUUGAUUCGGGGAUAAAUCUAUAUGAAGUGGGGACCAACUGGUGGAACUCAGAGAACUUUCAAAAGAUAGUUUAUAGAUGUGGAUCACUUCAUAGAUUUGACCCAACUGGAGUAGGUCUGGGGAUCAGAUUGGAGGAUCAUCUAUUAUCAUGGGAGUUAUUUGUUGGAAUGUUGGAGAAGUUAUGCAUUCUUCAAGUAUCCAAUGCUUCGUUAUACAUCUGUUGAAACAGUGUUGCGGCCAUUUACUUGCCACCACCCUAAUAGCAAGAGCCUUGAAAGGGGUCAACGAUGUUCGCAUAUGGGAAUAUGCAUCUCAUAUUCUGGGCUUGCAAUCAAUAUCACAAACAGAAGACAGAAUUCUGUUUAAUGCAUUGACAUUCAUUCGGAGAGGUUUGGGUUCAGCAGAUCAAUGUUUAAAACACUGCACAUCUUACUUGGAGAGCAGUGGGACAGAUAAAAUUGAUUUGAUUGGGAGGUGGGUCCAAGGCACCUUAGUUGGAACACUUGAUGAAGGAGAAAAGGUUGUUGGAGCUCUUGUCAAUGCCUUCUUGUUGGAGAGUUCUCAGAAGGGAAAUUCAAUCCGAAUGCGGCAUGAAAUCUGUGUAGAGUUAAUAAAUUUGUAUGAAACUGAAAUGAAUCCCAUACUUGUUAAACUAGAUGGAAGAGGACUAACAGAGGCACCAAAACUUGAGACAUGGACGGAUGUCACUGAGAUGCAUUUGAUGAAUAAUAAGAUAUCUAAGCUACCAGAAUAUCCAAAUUGCCCCAAACUCAGCUUAUUGUUUCUACAAGCCAACCAUCAUCUGAGAGUUAUUCCUCCUCAUUUUUUUGAAUGUAUGCCAGUCCUCAAAGUUGUAGACUUGUCCCAGACUAGAAUAAGGUCUUUACCACAAUCCUUUUUUAAGUUAGUUCAACUCCAAAAAUUCUUUUUAAGAGGUUGUGAACUAUUCAUGGAGCUACCACAAGAAGUUGGAGAAUUUCACUAUCUUGAGGUGCUUGAUCUGGAUGGGACUGAAAUAAAAAAUUUACCUGUUUCUAUUGGAAAAUUGACGAAUUUGACAUGCUUGAAAGUGUCAUUUUAUGGGUAUAAUGACAGUGAUAGAAAAAACAGCCAGUCAAAUAGAAUCAUUCCCCAAAAUUGGAUAUCUAAUCUGCUUCAAUUAAAAGAGUUAAGCAUAGAUGUGAAUCCAAAUAAUCAGGGGUGGAAUGUUAUAGUGAACGACAUUGUAAAGGAAAUUUGCAGCUUAGCUAAGUUGGAAGCUCUUAAACUUUACUUGCCAGAAGUUGUACUUUUGAAUGACUUGAGGAAUAGUUUGUCAUCCCUGAAGCACUUCAGAUUUACUGUUGGCCGUCAUGAGCAGCGCAUAAUAUCUUGACUACCACUUGAAGCUGCUGUUAAACAUGAAGAAGAAGAAAGAUGCUUAAAGUAUGUGAAUGGUAAAGGUGUUCAAAUUGAAAUUAAGCAGGCACUCCAGCAUGUUACAACAUUGUUCUUGGAUCGCCAUUUAACUCUAACCAGUUUAUCUAAAUUCGGGAUUGGGAAUAUGGAGAAUCUAAAAUUUUGUUUAUUAGGGGAAUGCAAUGAGAUCCAAACCAUUGUGGAUGCAGGUAAUGGUGGAGAUGUUCUACUUGGAUCACUAGAGUAUUUGAAUCUUCAUUAUAUGAAGAAUUUAAGGAGCAUUUGGAAGGGCCCACUUUGUCAAGGUUCUCUAUUCAGUCUGAAAUCUUUGGUGUUGUAUACCUGUCCCCAGUUGACUACCAUUUUUACAUUCAAUUUGCUCAAAAAUCUCCGCAAUUUAGAGGAGCUUGUGGUCGAAGACUGCCCCGAAAUCAACAGCUUAGUGACUCAUGACGUUCCUGCUGAAGAUCUACCACGGUGGAUAUACUAUCUUCCAAACUUGAAGAAGAUAUCACUCCAUUACUUGCCUAAAUUGAUCAGCUUUUCUAGUGGUGUACCGAUUGCACCAAUGUUAGAAUGGCUAAGCGUCUAUGAUUGCCCAAGCUUCAGAACUCUUGGCCUGCAUAGAGGAAAUUUGAAGGUGAUUAUAGGAGAGAGAGACUGGUGGAAUGCAUUGCAGUGGAAAAAAUCAGAACAGCUUUGGCUAUCUAAUCGGCCCUCAAUCUUUGUUCCAAUUGAAAGGGACAAAGAUUUGACAACACAAUUAGCUGAAAUCAAUUAUCAGCUUCCAGCUCGGAUGCAAGGAAGAGAGCCUUCUCAACAGUCAGGUUCGGGAACAAGGUCAAAGCAGAAGCAAGUAGCUCAGGCACUCUCAGGCAUUAAGCUUGAGCCAUUAUGAAACUGCUGCUCCUAGCUCAGGCAUCUUUUCAUAAAGUGGUCACUCUCAGCACUCCAACCUGCUCAUUCAAGCUUGAUGAAUGGGAGCAAGUUAAGCCUCAACUUGGAACUUUGCAGACCACUGCUGAUCUUGUACAAGAAAAGAAAACUCAGAACCUCACGAAACUCUGUUUGGAUCAUCAAGCCUUGCAUCUCUUAUCUCUUUGAAUAAAUUGUUAUAUAGACUUCCAGUGUCCUGACUUCAGAAUUCAGAAGUGAUCCCUCAGUUUUGAUUUGUAUUCAAGUGACAAUUGGUUUGUUCCAUGUCAUGCACAUCCCUCAGUUUGGUUGGUAUUGAAGUGAUAAUUGGAUUGUUUUA
RNA transcript from Vitis vinifera (wine grape), 3334 nucleotides. RefSeq lists it as uncharacterized. The transcript is spliced from 2 exons. The record is from RefSeq and is a predicted model, not a curated record. Lineage: Eukaryota; Viridiplantae; Streptophyta; Magnoliopsida; Vitales; Vitaceae.